RNAcentral lists this ribosomal RNA (253 nucleotides) under uncultured bacterium. RNAcentral describes it as "partial 16S ribosomal RNA". It matches the Rfam family "Bacterial small subunit ribosomal RNA", at positions 524 to 776 of the family's 1533-position model. The record is from RNAcentral.
UACGUAGGGUGCGAGCGUUGUCCGGAAUUAUUGGGCGUAAAGAGUUCGUAGGCGGUUUGUCGCGUCCGUUGUGAAAGCUUGGGGCUCAACCCCAAGUUUGCAGUGGAUACGGGCAGACUAGAGUCAGGUAGGGGAGAACGGAAUUCCUGGUGUAGCGGUGAAAUGCGCAGAUAUCAGGAGGAACACCGGUGGCGAAGGCGGUUCUCUGGGCCUGUACUGACGCUGAGGAACGAAAGCGUGGGGAGCGAACAGG